Long non-coding RNA from Oncorhynchus tshawytscha (Chinook salmon), 406 nucleotides. NCBI's taxonomy places the organism in Eukaryota, Metazoa, Chordata, Actinopteri, Salmoniformes, Salmonidae. The record is from Ensembl.
AGUCAUGGUGAGUAGAGACCUCAUGUCAAUAGGUACCAGUCAUGGUGAGUAGAGACAUGUCAAUAGGUACCAGUCAUGGUGAGUAGAGAGAGACAUCAUGUCAAUAGGUACCAGUCAUGGUGAGUAGAGACAUCAUGCCAAUAGGUACCAGUCAGGGUGAGUAGAGACAUGUCAAUAGGUACCAGUCAUGGUGAAUAGAGACAUGUCAAUAGGUACCAGUCAUGGUGAAUAGAGACAUCAUGUCAAUAGGUACCAGUCAUGGUGAGUAGAGACAUGUCAAUAGGUACCAGUCAUGGUGAGUAGAGACCUCAUGUCAAUAGGUACCAGUCAUGGUGAGUAGAGACCUCAUGUCAAUAGGUACCAGUCAUGGUGAGUAGAGACAUCAUGUCAAUAGGUACCAGUCAUG